UACGUAGGGGGCUAGCGUUGUCCGGAAUCAUUGGGCGUAAAGAGCGUGUAGGCGGCGCCGUAAGUCAGGUGUGAAAUUUCGGAGCUUAACUCCGAAACUGCAUUUGAUACUGCGGUGCUUGAGGACUGGAGAGGAGACUGGAAUUUACGGUGUAGCAGUGAAAUGCGUAGAGAUCGUAAGGAAGACCAGUGGCGAAGGCGGGUCUCUGGACAGUUCCUGACGCUGAGGCACGAAGGCCAGGGGAGCAAACGGG
This 253-nucleotide ribosomal RNA is filed under the name uncultured bacterium. Its description in RNAcentral is "partial 16S ribosomal RNA". It matches the Rfam family "Bacterial small subunit ribosomal RNA", at positions 524 to 776 of the family's 1533-position model. The record is from RNAcentral.